UACCAUGUGCCCUGACACUGUUCCCUGCACUGAUAAUUCCAUAAUAGACCAAGUAUCAAAAAUCUGUUUUCCUAUUGCAGAGGUGGACCUACUAUAAAAGAAAGAAGUUUCAUAGUUUAUUAGAAAGUGCAAGGUGCUAUGGUAGAGAAGGAAGGUUCAAAGAACUCGAGGGGAGAUUAGUUUGUAACUUUAUGUAGGGUGAUUAGGGAAAGCCUCACUGAGCAGGUGAUGGCCCAGUAAAGUCUCCAGGGAGAUGAGGGAGCCUUGUGAAUAUCUUGGAGAAGAGCAUUCUAAGCAGAGGGGCCAACAGCUGCCAAGACCCUUACAGACAGGUGUGCUUAAUAACAUCAGGAGGCUGGAGCCAAGUGAGCGAGGGUGAGAAUGGCAGGACAGAAAUCAGAGAGAUGGUGGCUGUGGGGGUGGGCAUGUCAAAGAAAGCCGUGUAGGCUGUUGUCAGAAUUUUGACUUUUAUCCCAAGUGAGGUGGAAAUUCAGUGGAGUGUUUUGAGCAGAGGAGUUACAUGAUCUGUUAGGCUCUAAGGAGACAAAGGUGGGAGCACAGAGACAAUUUAGGAGCUGGGGCAAUAGUCCAAGAGAAAAAUAACAGUGGCUUGGACCAGCAAGAAGCAGUGGAGAUGAGAGAAACAGUUGGAUUGUGGAUAUUUUUGGAGGUAAAAUCAACAGGAUAUGCUGAUGGGCUGAAUAUGAAUGUAAGAGAAAGAGAGAGGCCAAGGAUGACGCCCAGUUUUUGUCCUAAGCAAACGGAAACAUGAAGGUACCAUGACCUGAGAUGAAGAAGGCUGUGAGUGGGAUAUAUAUAGUGGAAACAAGCAGAAGUUCAGUUUUGGACAUGUGAAAUUUGAGAUGUUUAUAAAGCAUCUAAAAGUACAUCUGGGCCAGGUGCGGUGGCUCAUGUCUGAGAAUUGAUCACUGAGUUUAGCAACAUGAGGCCUGAGAACUGACCACUGUGUUUAGCAAAAUGGAGGAAGCUAUUAGUGACUCUGAUAAAAGCCAUUUAUUAAGACAUUGUUUAUGUGAAAAAAUAGAAAAAAUAAUAACUAGCAAUAGUAUAGGUUAAAUAUAGUGGUAUAUAUUACACUUUCAGAUAAAUUGUUCCCCUUUAUCUUACUUUGAAGCUCUUUAUUUUUAUUUUUUAAAAUAGAGACAGGGUCUCACUCUGCCACCCUGACUGAAGUGUGGUGGUGUGAACAUAGCUCACUGCAGCCUUGAACUCCUGGGCUCAAGUGAUCCUCCCACCUCAGCCUCCAGAGUAGCUGGGACUACAGGCACAAGUCACCACGCCUGGCUCUUGAAGCUUUUCUUUGUAUAGUGACACAUCCAAAAGGAAUGCAAAUCCUGUAUCCAAAGCCUCGAUAUGUGCUAUGAUGGUCGUCAACAUCCAACUCCAGCUUCCUGAUUGGUGGGCUUGGGCUGCCCUACAUUACAGAGGCUGGACAACUAAACACCACAUUUCCUAGACUCCCUUGAGCUACAGCUCCAGAGGUGAUUUCAGCUCUUCCAGUUAGACGCAUGAACUUUUCUUUUUCUUCACUGCCUCUUUGAUAAGGUCUUUAUUAAAAAUAAGGUGUCCAAAAUGAUUUGAUCUUUAUGGAAUAAACUCAUUUAAAAGCUUAUGCAGCAGGAUUAUUUUCCUCUGU
RNAcentral lists this long non-coding RNA (1657 nucleotides) under Homo sapiens (human). Its description in RNAcentral is "HSALNT0045491". Lineage: Eukaryota; Metazoa; Chordata; Mammalia; Primates; Hominidae. The record is from RNAcentral.